UGGGGAAUAUUGGACAAUGGGCGGAAGCCUGAUCCAGCCAUGCCGCGUGUGUGAAGAAGGCCUUUUGGUUGUAAAGCACUUUAAGCGAGGAGGAGGCUACUAGUAUUAAUACUACUGGAUGGUGGACGUUACUCGCAGAAUAAGCACCGGCUAACUCUGUG
Molecule: ribosomal RNA, 161 nt
Filed under: uncultured bacterium
Lineage: Bacteria
Description: partial 16S ribosomal RNA
Rfam family: Bacterial small subunit ribosomal RNA
Source: RNAcentral